RNAcentral lists this ribosomal RNA (231 nucleotides) under uncultured Stichotrichia. RNAcentral's name for it is "partial Bacterial large subunit ribosomal RNA". It matches the Rfam family "Bacterial large subunit ribosomal RNA", at positions 1336 to 1664 of the family's 2925-position model. Lineage: Eukaryota; Ciliophora; Spirotrichea. The record is from RNAcentral.
GCCGUAAGCCCAAGGGUUCCUGGGGAAGGGAAAUCCGCCCAGGGUUAGCCGGGACCUAAGGCAAGGCCGAAAGGCGUAGUCGAUGGAAAGCAGGUUAAUAUUCCUGCGCUCGUUGGCCAACGGAUCAUAGAGUUCUUCUGCCUUACCAGAUUGGCAGGCCUUCGGGCCGUUGAAGGACAAAGUGGUUCCAAGAAAAAACCAACAUAGACCCGUACCAAAACUGACACAGGU